Molecule: ribosomal RNA, 104 nt
Filed under: uncultured bacterium
Lineage: Bacteria
Description: partial 16S ribosomal RNA
Source: RNAcentral
CCCCGGUUACCACACCAUGGGAGUUGGUUUGACCUGAAGACGGUGCGCUAACUCAGCAAUGGAGAGGCAGCCGGCCACGGUCAGGUCAGCGACUGGGGGUGAAA